Chlorocebus sabaeus (green monkey) is the source of this 164-nucleotide small nuclear RNA. Its record names the gene U1. It matches the Rfam family "U1 spliceosomal RNA". Rfam says of the family: U1 is a small nuclear RNA (snRNA) component of the spliceosome (involved in pre-mRNA splicing). Its 5' end forms complementary base pairs with the 5' splice junction, thus defining the 5' donor site of an intron. There are significant differences in sequence and secondary structure between metazoan and yeast U1 snRNAs, the latter being much longer (568 nucleotides as compared to 164 nucleotides in human). The record is from Ensembl. NCBI's taxonomy places the organism in Eukaryota, Metazoa, Chordata, Mammalia, Primates, Cercopithecidae.
AUACUUACCUGGCAGGGGAGAUACCAUGAUCACGAAGGUGGUUUUCCCAGGGCGAGGCUUAUCCAUUGCACUCCGGAUGUGCUGACCCCUGCGAUUUCCCCAAAUGUGGGAAACUCGACUGCAAAAUUUGUGGUAGUGGGGGACUGCGUUCGCGCUUUCCCCUG